GAGAAUAGGCCCAAGCGACUGUUUACCAAAAACAUAGGUUUCUGCUAAGUCGCAAGACGAUGUAUAGGAGCUGACGCCUGCCCGGUGCUGGAAGGUUAAGGGGAUCUGUUAGAGCAAUCGAAGCAGUGAACUUAAGCCCCAGUAAACGGCGGCCGUAACUAUAACGGUCCUAAGGUAGCGAAAUUCCUUGUCGGGUAAGUUCCGACCCGCACGAAAGGCGUAACGAUUUGGGCACUGUCUCAACAACAGACUCGGUGAAAUUGUAAUUCCGGUGAAGAUGCCGGAUACCUGCGACAGGACGGAAAGACCCCAUGGAGCUUUACUGUAGCUUGACAUUGGGUCUUGGUACUACAUGUACAGGAUAGGUGGGAGGCUUUGAAACCAGGACGCCAGUUUUGGCGGAGCCAUCCUUGGGAUACCACCCUUGUAGUACUGGGACUCUAACCAUAGGCCAUGAAUCUGGUCUUGGGACACUGUCAGGUGGGCAGUUUGACUGGGGCGGUCGCCUCCCAAAAGGUAACGGAGGCGCUCAAAGGUUCUCUCAGUACGGUCGGAAAUCGUACGUAGAGUGUAAAGGCAAAAGAGAGCUUGAUUGCAAGACAUACAGGUCGAGCAAGGAUGAAAAUCGGACUUAGUGAUCCGGUGGUUCUGCGUGGAAGGGCCAUCGCUCAACGGAUAAAAGCUACCCUGGGGAUAACAGGCUUAUCUCCCCCAAGAGUCCACAUCGACGGGGAGGUUUGGCACCUCGAUGUCGGCUCAUCACAUCCUGGGGCUGUAGUAGGUCCCAAGGGUUGGGCUGUUCGCCCAUUAAAGUGGUACGCGAGCUGGGUUCAGAACGUCGUGAGACAGUUCGGUCCCUAUCCGUCGCAGGCGUAGGAAAUUUGAGAAGACCUGUCCUUAGUACGAGAGGACCGGGAUGGACG
This 923-nucleotide ribosomal RNA is filed under the name Clostridioides difficile. RNAcentral describes it as "partial 23S ribosomal RNA". It matches the Rfam family "Bacterial large subunit ribosomal RNA", at positions 1782 to 2703 of the family's 2925-position model. The record is from RNAcentral. Lineage: Bacteria; Bacillati; Bacillota; Clostridia; Peptostreptococcales; Peptostreptococcaceae.